Molecule: ribosomal RNA, 678 nt
Filed under: Ditylum brightwellii
Lineage: Eukaryota; Bacillariophyta; Thalassiosirophyceae; Lithodesmiales; Lithodesmiaceae
Description: partial Bacterial large subunit ribosomal RNA
Rfam family: Bacterial large subunit ribosomal RNA
Source: RNAcentral
ACCCCGGGAGGGGAGUGAAAUAGUUCCUGAAACCAUGUGCUUACAAUCCGUCAGAGCACCGUUUGUGUGUGAUGGCGUGCCUUUUGAAGAAUGAGCCUGCGAGUUAGUGAUACGUGGCGAGGUUAACCCGUGUGGGGAAGCCGUAGCGAAAGCGAGUCUGAAUAGGGCGAUUGAGUCGCGUGUCCUAGACCCGAAGCGGAGUGAUCUACCCAUGGCCAGGUUGAAGCGCGUGUAAGAGCGCGUGGAGGACCGAACCCACUUCAGUUGAAAAUGGAGGGGAUGAGCUGUGGGUAGGGGUGAAAGGCCAAUCAAACUCCGUGAUAGCUGGUUCUCCCCGAAAUGCAUUUAGGUGCAGCGUCACGUGUUUCUUCCCGGAGGUAGAGCUACUGGAUGGACGAUGGGCCCUACAAGGUUACUGACUUCAGCCAAACUCCGAAUGCCGGGAAGUGAGAGCGUGGCAGUGAGACUGUGGGGGAUAAGCUUCAUAGUCGAGAGGGAAACAGCCCAGACCACCGGUUAAGGCCCCUAAGCGUGUGCUAAGUGGGAAAGGAUGUGGAGUUGCUGAGACAACCAGGAGGUUGGCUUAGAAGCAGCCACCCUUGAAAGAGUGCGUAAUAGCUCACUGGUCGAGAGUGCCCGCGCCGAAGAUGUAACGGGGCUAAGACAUAAACCGAAGCU